GGACACCACUUAACCAAAGGUAUAUAGCAGAGUGGAUAGGACCAGGAAGUCCUCGAGUUCGCAACCCUUCAUCUCCUCGCACCCUUGAAAGCAUCCCAGAAGCAGAGGAAAAUGGUGCUGGGGAGCAGUUGAAAGACCUCCCCUUCAUCUCCUUGCACCCUUGAAAGCAUCCCAGAAGCAGAGGAAAAUGGUGCUGGGGAGCAGUUGAAAGACCUUCAUGCAAAGUCUUCAAAAGUAAAAUCAGAUGAAGUUAUGGACUCAAUCUCUCAGGAUAAAUGCCGUUCUUUGCUUUCUGGAUCUGGAAAAGGUUAUGCAGAGCAACAGGAAUUCUUUGUUCCUUGGCACUUACCUU
RNAcentral lists this long non-coding RNA (352 nucleotides) under Nicotiana benthamiana. Its description in RNAcentral is "long non-coding RNA (NBEN_LNC015910)". Lineage: Eukaryota; Viridiplantae; Streptophyta; Magnoliopsida; Solanales; Solanaceae. The record is from RNAcentral.